Molecule: ribosomal RNA, 494 nt
Filed under: uncultured bacterium
Lineage: Bacteria
Description: partial 16S ribosomal RNA
Rfam family: Bacterial small subunit ribosomal RNA
Source: RNAcentral
GACGAACGCUGGCGGCGUGCUUAACACAUGCAAGUCGAACGGUGAAGCGCCUUCCUUGUUGGUUGGUGGGGAUGAGUGGCGAACGGGUGAGUAACACGUGAGUAACCUGCCCCCUUCUUCUGGAUAACCGCAUGAAAGUGUGGCUAAUAUGGGAUAUUCUGGGUCUGUCUCAUGGUUGGUCUGGUUAAGAUAUUGUUUCGGUGGGGGAGGGGCUGGGGGCCUAUCGGGUUGUUGGUGGGGUGAUGGGCUACCAAGGGGGUGACGCGUAGCCGGCCUGAGAGGGUGGACGGCCAGAAUGGGACAGCGGCCCGGUCGGGACUCAGAUGGGAGGCAGAAGCGGGGAAUAGGGAACAGUGGGGGAAAGUCUGAUGCAGGGACGACGCGUGAGGGAUGGAGGCCUGCGGGUUGUGAACCCCUUUGGCUAGUGAAGCAGGACUGCCUCGUUUGUGGGUGGGUUGACGGUAGCUGGAUAAGAAGCGCCGGCUAACUACGUG